Molecule: non-coding RNA, 255 nt
Organism: Paramuricea clavata
Lineage: Eukaryota; Metazoa; Cnidaria; Anthozoa; Malacalcyonacea; Plexauridae
Source: the annotation of a GenBank genome assembly
UACUGACAGGAGCAAGAGAGAGAGGGGGGGGGGGCAUUAUUUUUCCGGGUUAUGGCAAAGCAGGGUCACAAAAUAUCAUUCCUUAAAAUUUUGAAUUACACCUCCCCCCCCUAAUAAAUUAUGACCAGUCCCUAAUAGAGUAUGUUGGCUGACUAUUUUUUUAGCUUCACCAUAUAAGCACUAGCUGCCUUCAGAUGAUAUGCUUGGAUUUGAUUUAAUUAACAAUGCAAUAUACUUACAUUAAUUAAAGUUUCA